Molecule: long non-coding RNA, 866 nt
Filed under: Helianthus annuus (common sunflower)
Lineage: Eukaryota; Viridiplantae; Streptophyta; Magnoliopsida; Asterales; Asteraceae
Description: hypothetical non coding rna
Source: RNAcentral
CUCAAUAACUCAAAUCUAGCAAAGUAAUUGGACAGACUUUAGCAAUGUAUACCAUACUAUUGAAUCAGAUGCCUUCAAAUCUUCAAUUUCGAAUCGGAGGGGCAUAGCCGAGGGUCUUUAAUUUUGUAUGAUUUGAUUCAAAUCUGGAAGCAAGCCCUUCAAAGCAGAGAAUUCGUAUGAUGAUUUGGUUCGAAUUCGAACAGAAUUACACCACCCCUCCCAUUGCAACCACCGUCCAAGAAACCGCCGCUGCAACCACCGCCUCCUCUUGAACCGCCGACAAAGUAGAAGCAGAUCUGGUUUCGAAAUGUACAGAUCGGAACCCUAGCCCCUUUAAGAAUCGAGCCUAGUUGUGGUUCAAGAACCAGUUGGUGGUUCAAGAUCGGUUCCCUUAGACAUUGUUCGACCCCCUCUAGUUGUGGUUCAAGAACCAGUAGAAGCAGAUCUUGUUCAAUCCCCUCUAAAUCGUCGUGUUCUACCAAUUCGGUUCCCUCAGACAUUCCGACCCCCACCAAGGUUCGUCUUCUGCUUCGUCAUCUUCUGGUCGGCUGGUGAUGGUGGCUGGUUUAGGUGAUGGCGGUGGUGCUUGAGAGGGAGAGGAAGAGGAAGAUAGGUGAACAGAGACUUCUAGUUUUUGUUAUGCAUAUAUACUAGGUUAUAACCCCGUGUAUUACACGGGUUGAAUAAAUGAAUUUUAUAUACCAAAUAAUAAAUCAUUAUCUUUUUAAAAGCUUCCUUUAUUGCACGGGUUCAAUAAAUGUAAUUUUAUAUAUUAAAUAAUAAAAUAAGUUAUAUCUAUAAGAACCAUAUGUAUUGUACGGGUUGAAUAAAUGUAAUAUUAUAUACCAAACAAUAAAAAAAAUUAU